Molecule: ribosomal RNA, 253 nt
Filed under: uncultured bacterium
Lineage: Bacteria
Description: partial 16S ribosomal RNA
Rfam family: Bacterial small subunit ribosomal RNA
Source: RNAcentral
UACGGGGGGGGCAAGCGUUGUUCGGAAUUACUGGGCGUAAAGGGCUCGUAGGCGGCCAACUAAGUCAGACGUGAAAUCUCCCGGCUCAACUGGGAGGGGUCAUUCGAUACUGGCGGGCUCGAGGCCGGUAGGGGGAAGUGGAAUUCCCGGUGUAGUGGUGGAAUGCGUAGAUAUCGGGAGGAACACCAGUGGCGAAGGCGGCUUCCUGGACCGGUUCUGACACUGAGGAGCGAAAGCGUGGGGAGCGAUCCGG